Molecule: small RNA, 401 nt
Filed under: Theobroma cacao (cacao)
Lineage: Eukaryota; Viridiplantae; Streptophyta; Magnoliopsida; Malvales; Malvaceae
Description: sRNA Tc09v2_g018230
Source: RNAcentral
AGAAAAUAAAUGGGCAUGACCCAAUAGAAAAUAAGUGGGCAUGGCCCAAUAGAAAAUAAAAAUAAAUAGGUUUGGCCCAAUUAGGAAAAAUGGAUAAGCCCAUGGAGAAGGCCCAAUGUUGUCGUGGAGGCAUGCCGAACAAAGUAUGUGACCACCAAAUAGGAAUAAUUAUACGCGUACGAAUCAAUAGUGAAGUAAUAUCCCACUAUUAUGAGAUAGGGAUCAGCCUAGCAUGUAGUCAGUGACGCAUUCGGUCCACUAUGAAUAGGUAAAGGCAUCUCCUAGCAUUUUAUUCCGAGUCGUUUCGCUGUUAGAGGUCAAGUCGUAGCAUUUUAUUUAUUAAGUUGUAAACGAAUUCUAAAUUUUUAUAUAAGCAUUAAUUUGGAGAUUAUAGAUUUUAA